This is a long non-coding RNA of Zea mays, 396 nucleotides long. RefSeq lists it as uncharacterized. NCBI's taxonomy places the organism in Eukaryota, Viridiplantae, Streptophyta, Magnoliopsida, Poales, Poaceae. The transcript has 3 exons. The record is from RefSeq and is a predicted model, not a curated record.
UUAAAGGGUCAAUUUGGGUUAGCUUCUUGGAAAUGCUCUGAAGAAUCAUUUGCACAUCAAGUGAAGAUCAGAGAUCCUCUCAAGAUUGGUUUUCCUAAUUUAUGGGCGUUGCGACUUGCACGCCAGCUACUUGUGUGGCAUCCUGAGGAUCGACUAAGUGUAGAUGAAGCACUAAAUCAUCCUUACUUCCAGGAGCCAAUGUAAUGUAAGGAGAGGAGAUUAGUGAUAACUAACCGACGAAUCUUCAGCUCGGUCCUUUCAAGUUCAAGCCGCGUGCAUUUGGUUAGAGGAAUUCAUGAAUCGUUUGUAAUUUACCAUCCUAGCUGUGUCAUAAAGAUGUUGUGAAUAUAACAUAACAUGAAGUAAAAGAUAGUAGCAUAUGUGAAAUUACAUGUG